This 496-nucleotide ribosomal RNA is filed under the name uncultured bacterium. RNAcentral describes it as "partial 16S ribosomal RNA". It matches the Rfam family "Bacterial small subunit ribosomal RNA", at positions 29 to 507 of the family's 1533-position model. The record is from RNAcentral.
ACGCACGCUGGCGGCGUGCCUCAUCCAUGCCGGUAGAACGCUGAAGAGAGGAGCUUGCUCUUCUUGGAUGAGUUGCGAACGGGUGAGUAACGCGUAGGUAACCUGCCUUGUAGCGGGGGAUAACUAUUGGAAACGAUAGCUAAUACCGCAUAACAAUGGAUGACACAUGUCAUUUAUUUGAAAGGGGCAAUUGCUCCACUACAAGAUGGACCUGCGUUGUAUUAGCUAGUAGGUGAGGUAAUGGCUCACCUAGGCGACGAUACAUAGCCGACCUGAGAGGGUGAUCGGCCACCCUGGGACUGAGACACGGCCCAGACUCCUACGGGAGGCAGCAGUAGGGAAUCUUCGGCAAUGGGGGCAACCCUGACCGAGCAACGCCGCGUGAGUGAAGAAGGUUUUCGGAUCGUAAAGCUCUGUUGUAAGUCAAGAACGGGUGUGAGAGUGGAAAGUUCACACUGUGACGGUAGCUUACCAGAAAGGGACGGCUAACUACGUG